AUACGAAGGGGGCAAGCGUUGUUCGGAAUAACUGGGCGUAAAGCGCACGUAGGCGGAAUGUUAAGUUAGAGGUGAAAUCCCAGGGCUCAACCCUGGAACUGCCUUUAAUACUGGCAAUCUAGAGACCGAGAGAGGUGAGUGGAAUUCCGAGUGUAGAGGUGAAAUUCGUAGAUAUUCGGAGGAACACCAGUGGCGAAGGCGGCUCACUGGCUCGGUACUGACACUGAGUGUGCGAAAGCUAGGGGAGCAAACGGGAUUAGAUACCCGCGUAGUCC
RNAcentral lists this ribosomal RNA (275 nucleotides) under uncultured bacterium. RNAcentral describes it as "partial 16S ribosomal RNA". It matches the Rfam family "Bacterial small subunit ribosomal RNA", at positions 523 to 796 of the family's 1533-position model. The record is from RNAcentral.